Molecule: ribosomal RNA, 492 nt
Filed under: uncultured marine eukaryote
Lineage: Eukaryota
Description: SSU rRNA
Rfam family: Eukaryotic small subunit ribosomal RNA
Source: RNAcentral
AGUUAAAAAGCUCGUAGUUGGAUUUCUGGCAGGGGGCAACAGCCCGCUUGCAGCGUGUGCUUGCCGUCCCCUACCAUCCUUCUGUUAACGCGCCAGGACAUUCACUUGUCGGGCGCGGGCUCAGAUAAUUUACCUUGAGAAAAUUAGAGUGUUUCAGGCAGGCUGACGCCGGGAUACAUUAGCAUGGAAUAAUGGAAUAGGACUUUCGCCUCUUCUGUUGGUCUGAGGGGUGAUCCUAAUGAUUAAUAGGGAUAGUUGGGGGCAUUAGUACUUAACUGUCAGAGGUGAAAUUCUCGGAUUUGUUAAAGACUAACUUAUGCGAAAGCAUUUGCCAAGGAUGUUUUCAUUAAUCAAGAACGAAAGUUAGGGGAUCAAAGACGAUCAGAUACCGUCCUAGUCUUAACCAUAAACUAUGCCGACUCGGGAUCGGGGGCGAGAGUUAUCCGCCUUCGGCACCGUAUGAGAAAUCGAAGUCUUUGGGUUCUGGGGGGA